CGGAUGUAGCCAAGUGGAUCAAGGCAGUGGAUUGAGAAUCCACCAUACGCG
RNAcentral lists this transfer RNA (51 nucleotides) under Populus nigra (black poplar). RNAcentral's name for it is "partial tRNA-His". RNAcentral also lists the same sequence under 1 other name. Lineage: Eukaryota; Viridiplantae; Streptophyta; Magnoliopsida; Malpighiales; Salicaceae. The record is from RNAcentral.